GCCCGCAGCUAAACUAUCCAGAUCAUCAAUGCUCUCGUCUGAUCUCGGAAGCUGAGCAGGGUAGGGACGAGUUAGAACUCGGUAGACAUCUCACUGGGAAUACCAAGUGCUGUAAGAU
Molecule: ribosomal RNA, 118 nt
Organism: Xiphophorus couchianus (Monterrey platyfish)
Lineage: Eukaryota; Metazoa; Chordata; Actinopteri; Cyprinodontiformes; Poeciliidae
Source: Ensembl